This 450-nucleotide ribosomal RNA is filed under the name uncultured bacterium. RNAcentral's name for it is "partial 16S ribosomal RNA". It matches the Rfam family "Bacterial small subunit ribosomal RNA", at positions 354 to 796 of the family's 1533-position model. The record is from RNAcentral.
GUGGGGAAUUUUGGACAAUGGGCGAAAGCCUGAUCCAGCCAUGCCGCGUGUAGGAUGAAGGCCUUCGGGUUGUAAACUGCUUUUGUACGGAACGAAAAGACUCCUUCUAAUAAAGGGGGUCCAUGACGGUACCGUAAGAAUAAGCACCGGCUAACUACGUGCCAGCAGCCGCGGUAAUACGUAGGGUGCAAGCGUUAAUCGGAAUUACUGGGCGUAAAGCGUGCGCAGGCGGUUAUAUAAGACAGAUGUGAAAUCCCCGGGCUCAACCUGGGAACUGCAUUUGUGACUGUAUAGCUAGAGUACGGUAGAGGGGGAUGGAAUUCCGCGUGUAGCAGUGAAAUGCGUAGAUAUGCGGAGGAACACCGAUGGCGAAGGCAAUCCCCUGGACCUGUACUGACGCUCAUGCACGAAAGCGUGGGGAGCAAACAGGAUUAGAUACCCGAGUAGUCC